GCCUGCAGCUAUCCUGCUUUGGGGUUUGCUCCUGUCAGAUCUCAUAACAUUAAGCAAAGUUUGGCUUCCUCAGUAUUUGCAUGGGAGAGCAGCUAGGGAAGUCCAGGACUCUGCAGAUA
This 119-nucleotide ribosomal RNA is filed under the name Dromaius novaehollandiae (emu). The record is from RNAcentral. Lineage: Eukaryota; Metazoa; Chordata; Aves; Casuariiformes; Dromaiidae.